ACAAAUCUCUUAAACUGAUGCAUAUAAGUUUGCUCUUCAAGCUCACCAUGCAAGAAAUCUAUUUUAACAUUAUUUGCUCCAAUUUCAAGUCAUACAUGGUGACUAAAGCAAGCAAUACACAAAGAGAACUAUGUUGCUCAACAACUAAGAAAAUAUUACUAAAACUAACAUCUUCAAUAUGACUAUAGCUCUUAGCAGCCAAUCGAGCCUUUACCAAGCAUCUUCAACUCCUGGGUACCAUCUUUCUUCUUAAAGACCCAUUUUCAAUCAACAAUCUUCUUUCUCUGGAUAGUUUCACCAACUUCCAAGUGUAUUUUUUAUAGAAGACUUAAUCUCCUCUUACAUAGCAACUAAUAACAUAGCAGAAUUAAUUCAAAAAAUGGCUUCUAAAUAUGACAAAAAAUCACCAACAUCAACGGUCUCUUCUGCCACUAACAAAAUAUAUGC
RNAcentral lists this long non-coding RNA (447 nucleotides) under Elaeis guineensis (African oil palm). Its description in RNAcentral is "long non-coding RNA (EGUI_LNC033838)". Lineage: Eukaryota; Viridiplantae; Streptophyta; Magnoliopsida; Arecales; Arecaceae. The record is from RNAcentral.